GGCCUGCCAAGCUGGAGCUGACGAUAGACAUCCUUAGCAUGGGUCCGGAUCAUGGCGUGCGCUGAAAGGCCACGUUUUGACCUGCAAAUCAAGCUGCCGUUACCGGUUUCCACGGCGAGGGAGAGAGAGAGGACGUCCAUUAGGGUUUGUGUCUUCGGUGGAAGAUUACAGGGCCAAGUUGAUCCGGCUGGCUAAUGCAGUUCUUUCCACGAGUCAGAGAAUGGCUGUCUAGAAGACCGACCAUUUGGAGGAUGAAGACUGCACAUUGCAAAGGAAAAUUUUUAUCUUCAUCCUUUGGACGUGAUGCUGCAGGCAUAGGUUUUCUCUCAUUAUGUACAAGUGCAGUUUUAUCCGUGCAUCUCAUGUUUAAUUCAGUCAAUGCAGACAACAUGGAAAAGAUGUAUGUAUAUCACAUUCUAACACGCACAGUAAAAUUUAUAUUACAUAUCAUCAUUUCCAGUUUUGCUUAGAUUUCCCUCAAUAUGGAGAUCCAUCUUCCAUAUUUUGUAAGUAUUAAGUUAAUUUAUAAUGGCUAUUUGGUUACAGAAUAUAUUACAAAUUUCGUUGAUGAAACUAACAUCAAUCCACCUUCGUGAAAGAGAGGUCUCAAGCUUUCCUCUUGAAAGGCAGAGAGAGAGAGAGAGAGAGAGAGAUGCUGCUUUUUGGUGUUUGCUGUUGGUAGAAUAAGAAUAAGAACAAGAGUUGGCCCAAAGAGGGGAGAGGCCAGUGGGUUGCACUGGAGGGAUUGUAUUGGAGGAGGAGAGUGAGCCAUCUUCUGCUUUGAAAAACACUCGAACACUUCUGCUCCUUGGCAGGUGAAUGAUGUGAAGUCACCAGUUUGUGCUCUGCGGAAGGAUCGUUGAUUAUUGGUGAACAAGAAAAAAAUAAUAAAAAGGAAUACAAGGCCAUUAAGACUGAACAACAGCAAUGCACGAAAACUUGAUCAACGAAGAUAUGUCUGUGUUAGGAAGACAUAAUCGGAGGUUGAUCCUUAAUGGCAAUAUACCAUGUGCACACUUAUUUAUAUUUUAGAUUUAUUAUGAAAUUCUGAACUUGUAACUCUGCUCUCCUGUCUGUGUGCACUUUCUUCUCUCUCUCUCUCUCUCUAAUUAAGCCCAUGCAAAUGAGAGCCAAUUGUUUGAGUCAGUCCAGAAGCAAAAAUGAGUAGCAAGACUUUAAUGGAACAAUAUCUGCCUGAGCCUUGUGGUACAUGUAUAUAUGAGAACAGUUAAAACGGCCUGCUAGGUGUCCUUAAGUAAUCACUUGGUGAAGUAUUAAACAUGAAAUUACCAUGUGAUAAUGCACAAGUUAAUGGACCUGAAAGAAUCUGCCCUUUGAAGAAGCUUAAUAGACCAAUGGCCCAGCUGCAUGAACUGAAAGUGAUGAGAUGUUGAAAAUGCUCCUAUUUUUUUUUCACACGUACAGCAUACAUAUACAUUAUACAGUAACUGUGUAAUGUAUAUAUAAUACUUAGGCACUGCUGCAGAGUGGGUCUAGAGUGGGUCCAGACUGGUACCAUAUCCGUUUUGAGCCCAAAGAAUCAGGUCCUACAUCAUGAUCCAAUUUGCAGGUGAUAUGAUGGAGGUGGAAGCUCGGUUGCAGAUCCAGAUCCCUGCCAGGCUCAGGUUCUAGGCUCACUCAAGCAACCAAGGGACAGAGGCUUGCAUAUAGCCUGUCAUAGAUGGGCUCUUGAGAUUCUUUUUAGUUCAGAUCUAUAUUUUAGAUCCAUUCAUGCAUUAUUAUUCGUUCCUUAGGUAUUUUUGACUUUUUAUUUUGUUUAGUCUGUCAUUUGAAACAGGUAAUCAUUGAUUGAAGUGCUUUUCCCUUCUUUUCUUUGGUUAUCCUUUUCUGUUCUGUGUAUUUUCUUCAUCAAUCAUUCAUUAGCUGACUAUCAUAAUAGUGUGAGGUUUAAGGCAAAAUCCCUAUGCCUUAUCAGGCAUACACACACGCAUCCACGUGUAUUUUCUCCAUGGAGCUAAUUGCAUAUGCUUGCAGGAAUUCUUAUACGACAUGAGUUCACCAAGAACGUAAUGUAACUUUCUAAAGGAGACUUAGUUGCUGAGAUUUAACAAAUAAGCUUCCCAUGAGUGUUGCAAUCAUUGCUGGCUUGUCAUGCCUGUUGCUGAUAUGAGACUAAUGUAUUCUCAUUUUACACAUUUCUUGUUAAAAUUGCUCAUUGUGGGCCUCGUGGUGUGUGCUUUUUUUACUGCAGAGACAUUUGCUUCUUAUUGACAGGUUCAGGCAUGUUAACUUAAUAAUUACUAUUGAAGCUCAGACGUUAAAAUUCAUGAAAGUUCCUCUACAGUUUUUUUUCCUGAAAUGACACUUUUUUGUUGAAUUUUCCUGUAGAUUCAUGGGGCAACAUGACAUGGUCUUUUACUUUAAUUAUAUAAUUUUUUUAAAGAUUUGAAUGUAAGUGAAAUAUCUUAGGGGUGGAUGUGGUCCUUGAGUCAUUUGCCUGACCUAGCCUGAUCAAAGAGGGCCUUCAACUCUUCAAUGUAACUUUGCAGAGACUUGUUUGUGGAUGAGAAGGAUUUGGAAAUUUCUUCCGUCUAAACCAUGCUGUGCGAUUAUAAGUGUCACAUGGCUGUCAACAUCAUGCCUUCCUAACAGCUCCUUGAAAUCUAUUUUCCAUUAUAACAUAAUUAUUGCUAGGGGAAACCUACAUACUUUGUUAUAUCCAUUCUUAAAGCGCAGGAGCCAAUGCUGCUAACACACAAGGAACACCCUGGCUUUACUUGAACAACUUGAUCAAUUUGGUGGCUUGAAAUUUGAAAGCUGUGAUUUCCCUCUCAGACAGAUUGUAUGCUUUGUCAGGUAGUUGGCUGUUCUCAUAUGGAAGAAAUUGAUGCAGAUUCUAUAGCAGUAGUAAUAAGCAAUUAUUUCCUUCCAAGGGAUGUUGAAGUUGCUAUCAGUCUCGUCAUCCUCACCUUUCCUUUGUCUAAAGAAAGUUUUGUAUGCUUCCUUGGUUGUGGCUUAGAAUGAUAGGCCUAGUCAUACUUCUAGAGCAGGCCAAAGGUCAGCCAUAUUUAGUUUGGCAGGAUGGUCCAUCCUUAUCAGGACUUUCUGCUGGUGAACAGCUUCUUGUAUGGCCCACAGCUGAUGAAAAAGAAGGGGUUUUCCAAGUUUUUCAAUGUGCUUCCAUGCUGCUAUAAUUGGGUCACUUCCGAACCAUUUAUUGUUGAUGCUGACUCAUUCCAAGGCAGGAAACUAAAUUUUUUCUUGACUAAAGCUGAGCUGAACUUGCGUCAGAUGAUCAAUCCCUUUAAGGCCACUUCUUUUUCCAUGUUUAUGUUUCUCCACUGUGCAGUCAAAAGAUCAUUUCUGUGAUAUUGCUUCAAAAAGGAUAUUGGGCUUCAUGUAAACUCUAAUUAAGAAGACUAAAAGUUGUGCUGCGUAGGAUAAACUAAUGGAGCUGUAGAGUGCAAGGCUUUUCUUAAAAGUACAUGGAGACUAGCAGUAGUCAGGUCCAUGAUUUCUGUAGUGAAAAUGGAAUAUGGAACCAACUGCACUACUGGAUGAAGUAGCCUGCAUCUUUUGAUAGUAAAAGUAACCUGCAUUUGCUUUUGGUAUCAAUGGCAGUUGCUCAUGCAUUUGUUCAUGGCUGUGGGUAACAUUCUUGGUUCGCCAUUACUUCUUUCAGUGCAUGGUUUGAAAGGGGUCCUUCACUUUGACUUCAUCAUAUGGCCUAAAGUCGUACCCACAUGAAAACUGCUUUCUUGAAAUUAUGCUUCUAGCCUUUAGUAGAUGCUGCACCCUCAUAGCAGCAGGCUGAAUUUGCUUUGUUCUUUAAGCAUCUAUCAUGGUAAGUGUCGUCAAAUAUGCUUGUGACUGUUAACGUGGUUCAAUCUAUUUCUCCUACUUCAGGACACUGAAUGGGAGGAGGAGUUGACAAAAAUAUUGCAUCAGAUGGGGAUGAAAUUCCCAGCUGUCAUUAUGCUGGAGAAUAAAUGGGUCGUUGUCUGCUUAACACUAAUUCUUGGGCUUUACGGUGUGUUGUAAAUGGGGAUGUGGUUGGUCGGGAAUCUUUAACCUUCUGUCUUCCUUCUAUUUGACAAACCCUUGAUUUAGUCAAUAAUCCAAAACUGGAAAUACUUUUCGAGGGAAUUGUGGCAACUUUUUUUUUGUGGGUUUAUCUUGCUUGCAGGUUUUAGAGUUACUCUUCAUUUUUACCAUGUAAUUUAAUUUGCAUCUCUACAUUUGAGAUAUAUGGUCUGUUUCCUAGUCGACAUGUUGAUAUAUUUGGUAGGCAAUUUACUGUGUCAUGCAAUAAUUCUCCACUUGUGGAGAACCAUUAUUGAUUCGCCAAGGUAUGGUGUCUCCUUUGACAUUUUUUUGCCAUUCACUUGCCCUGGUCCAUAUGUGUACCUAAGAUAUUGCUCCUAUCUGUUUGUAUACAGGACCAGCCUGUGGUGUCAUUGAAAUUAACCUCAGUAAUUCCUCAGUACAGAGUGAAUCGAGGAUGCUUCCGUUCUUCGAGGUAGUUCGAAGCCGACGUGUUCCUGGAGCUUUCUGACCUUUGGUUAUGAUCCCGAUGUAGGAAAGUGGCGCCGUCCUGGAUCACGGCAGACGAUCUCCAUGAACAAGGCCGCACAGAGAGGGAGAGAGACACGUGCAUGUAUACUAGAUAUGCGUGCUUAUUCUUUUUGUACUGUAUUUCUUUAACGUUUUGCGAGAGAGCUUGAAGCAGAACCAUCUGGUUUUUGUUC
Molecule: long non-coding RNA, 4709 nt
Organism: Nymphaea colorata (pocket water lily)
Lineage: Eukaryota; Viridiplantae; Streptophyta; Magnoliopsida; Nymphaeales; Nymphaeaceae
Exons: 5
Source: RefSeq, a predicted model, not a curated record